RNAcentral lists this transfer RNA (73 nucleotides) under Streptococcaceae bacterium. RNAcentral describes it as "tRNA-Phe". It matches the Rfam family "tRNA". From Rfam's summary of the family: Transfer RNA (tRNA) molecules are approximately 80 nucleotides in length. Their secondary structure includes four short double-helical elements and three loops (D, anti-codon, and T loops). The record is from RNAcentral. Lineage: Bacteria; Bacillati; Bacillota; Bacilli; Lactobacillales; Streptococcaceae.
GGCUCGGUAGCUCAGUUGGUAGAGCAUUGGAUUGAAGCUCCAUGUGUCGGCGGUUCGAUUCCGUCCCGCGCCA